RNAcentral lists this transfer RNA (72 nucleotides) under Schistocephalus solidus. It matches the Rfam family "tRNA". Rfam says of the family: Transfer RNA (tRNA) molecules are approximately 80 nucleotides in length. Their secondary structure includes four short double-helical elements and three loops (D, anti-codon, and T loops). Further hydrogen bonds mediate the characteristic L-shaped molecular structure. tRNAs have two regions of fundamental functional importance: the anti-codon, which is responsible for specific mRNA codon recognition, and the 3' end, to which the tRNAs corresponding amino acid is attached (by aminoacyl-tRNA synthetases). tRNAs cope with the degeneracy of the genetic code in two manners: having more than one tRNA (with a specific anti-codon) for a particular amino acid; and 'wobble' base-pairing, i.e. permitting non-standard base-pairing at the 3rd anti-codon position. The record is from Rfam by way of RNAcentral. Lineage: Eukaryota; Metazoa; Platyhelminthes; Cestoda; Diphyllobothriidea; Diphyllobothriidae.
GGGCCCGUGGCUCAAUGGUAGAGCGUUAGUCUCCAUCGUCAAAGAUCGUGGGUUCGAAUUCCAAUUGGUCCA